RNAcentral lists this unclassified non-coding RNA (202 nucleotides) under Hevea brasiliensis (rubber tree). Lineage: Eukaryota; Viridiplantae; Streptophyta; Magnoliopsida; Malpighiales; Euphorbiaceae. The record is from RNAcentral.
UCCCCAUACUUGAACAUCCUUGUACCCCAAUAUUUGUGAUGCCCACGUUUACCAGUGUGAAAGUAGCAAUCAUUUGACCCAUCGAAAAGUGAGAGUCCAACCAUCUCAUCAGCAGCUGAGUAGGAAUGGACAAUGUCCAAGAACACUAGUAAUUCUAAUCCAUGUGCUUCAUCAACCAAGCGUUUGAAGUCAUCAGGAGUGC